GAUGAACGCUGGCGGCGUGCUUAACACAUGCAAGUCGAACGAUGAAGCCCAGCUUGCUGGGUGGAUUAGUGGCGAACGGGUGAGUAACACGUGAGUAACCUGCCCUUGACUCUGGGAUAAGCCUGGGAAACUGGGUCUAAUACUGGAUAUGACUUCUCAUCGCAUGGUGGGGGGUGGAAAGAUUUAUUGGUCUUGGAUGGACUCACGGCCUAUCAGCUUGUUGGUGAGGUAAUGGCUCACCAAGGCGACGACGGGUAGCCGGCCUGAGAGGGUGACCGGCCACACUGGGACUGAGACACGGCCCAGACUCCUACGGGAGGCAGCAGUGGGGAAUAUUGCACAAUGGGCGCAAGCCUGAUGCAGCGACGCCGCGUGAGGGAUGACGGCCUUCGGGUUGUAAACCUCUUUCAGUAGGGAAGAAGCGAGAGUGACGGUACCUGCAGAAGAAGCGCCGGCUAACUACGUG
RNAcentral lists this ribosomal RNA (466 nucleotides) under uncultured bacterium. Its description in RNAcentral is "partial 16S ribosomal RNA". It matches the Rfam family "Bacterial small subunit ribosomal RNA", at positions 28 to 507 of the family's 1533-position model. The record is from RNAcentral.